UGAUAACCUCCUUUUUGAUUAUAACAUCCAGCAUAUAGAACUAUAUCGAUAGAGUUAAUAUCGUCAUAUGCUAUGUUGACAAGACGCUUUGCACCGAUCGUCCGAAGGGGUUUCUCCACAACUAUCAGGAGAAGCGGGGGACAUGGAAAACCGACUGCACAAGACAUGCUUCCGUUUGAUCCUUUCCAGAACCGAUACAAACUUCUGAUCAAGAUGAGCAUAUAUAUUGGAACAGCAUUCUCUCUACCAUUUUUCGCUGUAUAUUUCCAACUUAGAAAAAAAUAUGGCGAAGAAACACAGUGACGGAUUUGUCAGUGGCUUUACUGUUGGGCUUACAUUUUGAAAUAAAAUUUAACCUAAUUUGAA
Molecule: non-coding RNA, 366 nt
Organism: Styela clava
Lineage: Eukaryota; Metazoa; Chordata; Ascidiacea; Stolidobranchia; Styelidae
Source: RefSeq, a predicted model, not a curated record